CACGUAGGCACCAAGCGUUGUCCGGAUUUAUUGGGCGUAAAGGGCUCGUAGGCGGUUCGGUAAGUCGGGUGUGAAAACUCUGGGCUCAACCCAGAGCCGCCACCUGAUACUGCUGUGACUCGAGUGCGGUAGGGGAGCGGGGAAUUCCUGGUGUAGCGGUGAAAUGCGCAGAUAUCAGGAGGAACACCAGUGGCGAAGGCGCCGCUCUGGGCCGUGACUGACGCUGAAGAGCGAAAGCGUGGGGAGCGAACAGG
This 254-nucleotide ribosomal RNA is filed under the name uncultured bacterium. RNAcentral's name for it is "partial 16S ribosomal RNA". It matches the Rfam family "Bacterial small subunit ribosomal RNA", at positions 524 to 776 of the family's 1533-position model. The record is from RNAcentral.